GUGCCAGCAGCCGCGGUAAUACGUAGGUGGCAAGCGUUGUCCGGAUUUAUUGGGCGUAAAGCGAGCGCAGGCGGUUUUGUAAGUCUGCUGUGAAAGCCCUCAGCUUAACUGAGGAAGUGCAGUGGAAACUACAAAACUUGAGUACAGAAGAGGAUAGUGGAACUCCAUGUGUAGCGGUGAAAUGCGUAGAUAUAUGGAAGAACACCAGUGGCGAAGGCGGCUGUCUGGUCUGUUACUGACGCUGAGGCUCGAAAGCAUGGGUAGCGAACAGGAUUAGAUACCCUGGUAGUCCAUGCCGUAAACGAUGACAAUUAGCUGUUGGGGUACUAGAUGCCUUAGUAGCGAAGCUAACGCGUGAAAUUGUCCGCCUGGGGAGUACGGUCGCAAGAUUAAAACUCAAAGGAAUUGACGGGGACCCGGCACAAGCGGUGGAUGAUGUGGAUUAA
This 446-nucleotide ribosomal RNA is filed under the name uncultured bacterium. RNAcentral describes it as "bacterial SSU rRNA". It matches the Rfam family "Bacterial small subunit ribosomal RNA", at positions 505 to 949 of the family's 1533-position model. The record is from RNAcentral.